This is a long non-coding RNA of Mesocricetus auratus (golden hamster), 3344 nucleotides long. RefSeq lists it as uncharacterized. The transcript has 2 exons. The record is from RefSeq and is a predicted model, not a curated record. Lineage: Eukaryota; Metazoa; Chordata; Mammalia; Rodentia; Cricetidae.
AGCACAUAGCUGCCAAUGCAUGUAGGGUGCUUUAUCGGAGACAGGUGAAUAACUACUUACUUCAACAGUUAAAUAUGAAGCAAGACCAACUAAGUGGGGGAAUUUCAGAUUUGAUGAGAGAGGAAUGUUUUAAAUGAUCUUCUGAUAGGUGAGCGUGGUUUUCUUUUAAAUACCAUAAGAUAAAACCAUCCCUGAGUCAGGUGUGGUAGCACAUACCUGCAAUCCCAGAACUUGGGAGGCAGAGGCAGGGGAAUUUCUCAGUAUGUGAAGGCAGCCUGGUCUACAAAGCAAGUUCCAGCCAUGGAUACAUAGGAAUACCCUGUUUAAAAAUAAACAAAGAAUGUAAAAAUAAACAAGAUCCCUCCUAAUGUUUGGAAGGUGGAUCCCUCUUGAAUGGGGUUAGUGCUGAGAUGAAAGAGACUCUAGGCUCCUUCCACCAUAGGAUGACAGCAAAAGACACCAACCGUGACCCAGGGAGUGGGCUAUCACAACACACCAAAUAUAUUGGCAACUUGGUAUAGGAAUUCCCAGGCUCUAGGGCUGUGAGAAAUUUCUGUUGUUUCUGAGCCACUAAUGGUAUCUAAGUAAGCAAACUAAAGAAGUGUAGGAAGAUUGUUAGGCUAGUGAAAAGCUGAGGCUAUCCAGGUGUGGGUUCAUUUUCAAAAGUGCCCCUAGCCAGUUUAGUUCCCAACACAGAUAAAGCAAAAGCACUAGACUCCUCCUAGCUAGUCUCACCCUCAAGACCGUGGUAAGCCACCCUCACACCCAAACAAGAUGUUUAGAGUAGAAAAUUACUAACAACUAAGCUUGCCAUGAGCCUGAAAAGUUUUAACAUAAACACAAUGUAAAAUGUAGAGAUGAAUCCACGCACACAGAGACGAGCCAUGCAUGGUUUUAUUGAGAAGCACAUAUAUGUAAGCAACUAUGUAGGAGAAGGAUCCCACCUAGAUGAUGUGUAAGAUAUUACUCUCUGAUUAUUCAGUAUGAGGAAAGGAAAGGAGAGUCCAGCCUUAGGGCUCAUAAACUGUUACGCUGAUGGCUGGCUUCCAAAGUCAUAUAAUAAACUCUCAUUUUCACUACUCUGAGUUUCCAGUGCUCUUAUUAUGGAGGGAGGCACAUUGUUUCUCACAACAGAUGAAUGUGAUGGGAGGCUAGUAGAGCAAAAAUGUGAAGGGAUUUGUGAGGACAUAAUUGCAAUAAUGGACUGCGGAGCCUCAGCUGGGUAGAAAUUAAAGUGGUUAUUUGAAGAUAUAAAAGCAAUGAUAAGGCCUGUUGUGCAGGCUUAUUCCUGUAAUCUCAGAACUCAGUGGAGGCAGGAGGAUCUGGAAUUCUGGAACAGCCUAUGCUAUCCAAUUUCACAAGAGAUACAUUGGCUGGUGCAUUGCUCAGUGGGUAUAGGCACUUGCUGCCAAGCCUGACUGACCUGAGUUCAAUCCCUGAACUCCACAUGGUGAAGGAGAGAACUCAGUCCUGGGAGUUGUCAUCUGACCUCCACGGGUGUGUUUUAGCAUGCACUCAACUAUACUACCACACACAUAUCAUAUAUACACACUGGAUAAAUUUUUAAAAAAUUUAGAGACAUAUAGAAAAGCAUCCUGUGUCCUACAAAAGAGAUGAUGUAUAUUCAAUGACAUUUGCUGUUGUUUUCGAAUAGCAUCUGUGAAAGGAAUAGUGCUUGAGAAUGAAAACAAUAGAGAAUUGUAUGCAUGAGGUAUUAAUUCAAUUUUGUACAUCUGAAAUUAACAUAAAUAAUGAGUGUUCUCACAAGCAUAUUUUAGCAUAUGUUUGUGUAUUGUUGAAAGGGGAACAAGUCACAUACUAUAUAUUUUGGAAGCGUAUUUAAUGUAUAUGAAUAUAUAUUGAAUGGGAAGCACAUCAUAUAUGCUAUACUGCUAUUGUACACUGGUGACACUUUUUGAGGCAAAAUAUUGCUGUGUAAGCCUAGCUCUCUUGCAGCUCACUGUGCAACCAGUUCAAAGCUUGCAGCAAUUCUUCUGCCUCUGUCUCCCAAGUGCUGCUGGGUCAUAGGUAUUAGCCACCGUGCCUUCUAGACUACAAUCUGCUAUUUUUGGAGACAAGGUCAUCCUAGUAGUCCUGGCUGGGCUAGCACUCAUUAUAUAGACCAUGCUGGUAUUAAACUCACAACAGUCUUCCUGCAUUUGCCUCCCAAGUGCUGGGCUUGCAAGAGUAAGUAAUCAUGCUUGGCUUUGCAAUAUGCUUUUAAAAUUUACUAUAGGUUUUCAUAUUUUUCUGUGUUAAGCACAUGAUUCAUAUCACAUUUUAGAAAUUAAAGAUUCGAAUUGAUGGUUAUAUUACAAUUUAAACCAACUCUACAUAAAUCAGUAUCUAUCUAUCUAUAGGUAUCUAUCUACAUACCUACCUACCUACCUACACACUGACAUAUGAGGUUGAAUAACCCAGGGGUUUGUAUAUGCUAGCCCAUCACUCCACCACAGAGUUACAUGCCUGUUCCUCAAUGGUCAAGUUUUAAAAAUAGUAUUAUAAGGCCAAGUGGGUUGACAGAUGCCCAUAAUCACAGCAGUUGAGACUGAGAUAGCAGGAUUCUUGCAAAACUGUAAGUGAUGGAAAAUCCCAGGCCAGCUAGGGCUACAUAGUAAAACCUUGUCUUGGAAAAAAUGGUAUUCGACAUUAUACUUUCAAAUAGUUAGAUGUGCAAAACACGAUAUGAUGCUUAAGUGCAAAUGGGACCAAUCAAAAAUAUUGAAAAAUGAGAUUUCAAAUAAAUGGCUUCUACAUCUGCCAGCUUAAGCCUCCACCUUUGUGGACCUAUAACGAUGCCAAAGCCACCAGUAGUGUCAAUGAUCAAAUAUCAUCAUGUUGUUUCUCUUUCUCUAUAGCUUUCCAUAGACGUAUCUGGCCUGGAGAAACUGACUGGAAUUUUUUCACUGAUAAGGUUUCUUUGUGUGCCCACCCCUAGCUGUUCUGCAACUUGCUCUGUAGACCAGGCUAGCCUUGGACUCAUGGAGAGCCGCCUGCCUUUGCUUCCCGAUUACUGGGAUUAAAGGUGUGCUCCACUGCCCGGCUGCUGACGCUGUUGCUGCUGAUUCUUUAACUGACACAGAACCAGCUUCCUUGGGCUGCCAAUGUGGACUGGAGACCCUGCUGCUGAUCCCUUGGCUGGUUUUUGGAACCAGCUACUUCGAGCUUCUAAUGUGAACUGAUCAUCAACUUUUUAAUGAGUCUUCUAGGUCUCCAGUACCAUACUGGGACAGUAGAGACAUCCAGUCCCAUGGAUUGAGAAAGUACUGCGUUCCCGGUGGCCUCUCUGGUGUAAAACAGAUCACAUUGUGUAAGCCACUCCAAUAAAUGCACACUUAAAAUUA